GUGGGGAAUUUUGGACAAUGGGGGCAACCCUGAUCCAGCCAUGCCGCGUGAGUGAAGAAGGCCUUCGGGUUGUAAAGCUCUUUUGGCCGGGGAGAAAAGGUCGCGGAUAACACCUGCGGCUCUUGACGGUACCGGCAGAAUAAGCACCGGCUAACUACGUGCCAGCAGCCGCGGUAAUACGUAGGGUGCGAGCGUUAAUCGGAAUUACUGGGCGUAAAGCGUGCGCAGGCGGUUCGUUAUGUCCGUCGUGAAAGCCCCGGGCUCAACCUGGGAAUGGCGAUGGAAACUGGCGGGCUGGAGUGUGGCAGAGGGGGGUGGAAUUCCGCGUGUAGCAGUGAAAUGCGUAGAGAUGCGGAGGAACACCGAUGGCGAAGGCAGCCCCCUGGGCUGACACUGACGCUCAGGCACGAAAGCGUGGGGAGCAAACAGGAUUAGAAACCCCAGUAGUCC
Molecule: ribosomal RNA, 450 nt
Filed under: uncultured bacterium
Lineage: Bacteria
Description: bacterial SSU rRNA
Rfam family: Bacterial small subunit ribosomal RNA
Source: RNAcentral